RNAcentral lists this ribosomal RNA (376 nucleotides) under uncultured bacterium. Its description in RNAcentral is "SSU rRNA". It matches the Rfam family "Bacterial small subunit ribosomal RNA", at positions 242 to 635 of the family's 1533-position model. The record is from RNAcentral.
CAGCUAGUUGGUGGGGUAAGAGCCUACCAAGGCGACGAUCGGUAGCUGGUCUGAGAGGACGAUCAGCCACACUGGGAUUGAGAACGGCCCAGACUCCUACGGGGGGCAGCAGUGAGGAAUUUUCCGCAAUGGACGCAAGUCUGACGGAGCAACGCCGCGUGCAGGAGGACGCUUUUCGGAGUGUAAACUGCUUUUCUGUGGGAAGAGAGAGGACGGUACCACAGGAAGAAGCCCCGGCUAACUACGUGCCAGCAGCCGCGGUAAUACGUAGGGGGCGAGCGUUGUCCGGAGUUACUGGGCGUAAAGGGCAUGCAGGCGGUCGGACGCGUUUUGUGUGACAUCGGGUGGCUUAACUACCCGAGUAUGCAAAAGACGG